Molecule: transfer-messenger RNA, 358 nt
Filed under: Verrucomicrobiia
Lineage: Bacteria; Pseudomonadati; Verrucomicrobiota
Also listed under: 2 other names
Description: UBA6614 sp002721895 Standard tmRNA
Rfam family: transfer-messenger RNA
About the family: Bacterial tmRNA, also known as 10Sa RNA or SsrA, is named for its dual tRNA and mRNA-like properties. Its role is to liberate the mRNA from a stalled ribosome. To accomplish this part of the tmRNA is used as a reading frame that ends in a translation stop signal.
Source: RNAcentral
GGGGGCGUACUGGAUUCGACCGGAUAGACGCGCCAGGGAUUGCAUGCCGAGGAUGAUCCGUUGGCCUCGUAAAUCAUCGGAUUAAAAACUAUAACUGCCAACGAAGAAUUGGCUCUCGCGGCUUAAUUACGCCGUGACGUCUGUCAGCUGACACCGGCUGGGCUGAGCAGGCGUCGUUAGCCGGUUGGGUCCGCGACGGAGACCGCGCGAAACGGACCGAGAUUUUUUCAUGCGGACUAGGCGGCGGGAUACUGGCCGGGAGGUUUUUCCGUUGCUGACCAAACAAUUCCGGCUAAGCAUGUAGAGGUUUCUGGUUAAGCUGUUUGGGACGCGGGUUCAAUUCCCGCCGCCUCCACCA